GACGAACGCUGGCGGCGUGCUUAACACAUGCAAGUCGAACGGAAAGGCCCUGCUUUUGUGGGGUGCUCGAGUGGCGAACGGGUGAGUAACACGUGAGUAACCUGCCCUUGACUUGGGGAUAACUUCAGGAAACUGGGGCUAAUACCGGAUAGGAGCUCCUGCUGCAUGGUGGGGGUUGGAAAGUUUCGGCGGUUGGGGAUGGACUCGCGGCUUAUCAGCUUGUUGGUGGGGUAGUGGCUUACCAAGGCUUUGACGGGUAGCCGGCCUGAGAGGGUGACCGGCCACAUUGGGACUGAGAUGCGGCCCAGACUCCUACGGGAGGCAGCAGUGGGGAAUAAUGCACAAUGGGCGGAAGCCUGAUGCAGCAACGCCGCGGGCGGGAUGACGGCCUUCGGGUUGUAGACCGCUUUCGCCUGUGACGAAGCGUGAGUGACGGUAAUGGGUAAAGAAGCACCGGCUAACUACGUG
RNAcentral lists this ribosomal RNA (468 nucleotides) under uncultured bacterium. Its description in RNAcentral is "partial 16S ribosomal RNA". It matches the Rfam family "Bacterial small subunit ribosomal RNA", at positions 28 to 507 of the family's 1533-position model. The record is from RNAcentral.